RNAcentral lists this ribosomal RNA (253 nucleotides) under uncultured bacterium. Its description in RNAcentral is "partial 16S ribosomal RNA". It matches the Rfam family "Bacterial small subunit ribosomal RNA", at positions 524 to 776 of the family's 1533-position model. The record is from RNAcentral.
UACAGAGGUCUCAAGCGUUGUUCGGAUUCAUUGGGCGUAAAGGGUGCGUAGGCGGCGAAGCAAGUCUGAUGUGAAAUCCCGGGGCUCAACCCCGGAACUGCAUUGAAUACUGCUUUGCUAGAGUACUGGAGAGGAGACUGGAAUUUACGGUGUAGCAGUGAAAUGCGUAGAUAUCGUAAGGAAGACCAGUGGCGAAGGCGAGUCUCUGGACAGUUACUGACGCUGAGGCACGAAGGCCAGGGGAGCAAACGGG